RNAcentral lists this transfer RNA (72 nucleotides) under Sphaerodactylus townsendi. RNAcentral's name for it is "tRNA-Gly". It matches the Rfam family "tRNA". Rfam says of the family: Transfer RNA (tRNA) molecules are approximately 80 nucleotides in length. Their secondary structure includes four short double-helical elements and three loops (D, anti-codon, and T loops). The record is from RNAcentral. Lineage: Eukaryota; Metazoa; Chordata; Lepidosauria; Squamata; Sphaerodactylidae.
GGGACUGUGGCUUAGUGGAAGAGCCUUUGCUUUCCACGCAGAAGGUCCCUGGUUCAAUCCCUGUCAUCUCCA